RNAcentral lists this transfer RNA (84 nucleotides) under Staphylococcus argenteus. RNAcentral's name for it is "tRNA-Leu". The record is from RNAcentral. Lineage: Bacteria; Bacillati; Bacillota; Bacilli; Caryophanales; Staphylococcaceae.
GCCGGCGUGGCGGAAUUGGCAGACGCGCGGGACUCAAAAUCCCGUUCCAUUCGUGGAGUGUCGGUUCGMCCCCGACCGCCGGUA